RNAcentral lists this ribosomal RNA (394 nucleotides) under uncultured bacterium. RNAcentral's name for it is "bacterial SSU rRNA". It matches the Rfam family "Bacterial small subunit ribosomal RNA", at positions 362 to 773 of the family's 1533-position model. The record is from RNAcentral.
UAUUGCACAAUGGGGGAAACCCUGAUGCAGCGACGCCGCGUGAAGGAAGAAGUAUCUCGGUAUGUAAACUUCUAUUAGCAGGGCAGAAAAUGACGGUACCUGACUAAGAAGCCCCGGCUAACUACGUGCCAGCCGCCGCGGUAAUACGUAGGGGGCAAGCGAUAUCCGGAUUUACUGGGGUUAAAGGGAGCGUAGACGGAAGAGCAAGUCUGAUGUGAAAGGCUGGGGCUUAACCCCAGGACUGCAUUGGAAACUGUUGUUCUAGAGUGCCGGAGAGGUAAGCGGAAUUCCUAGUGUAGCGGUGAAAUGCGUAGAUAUUAGGAGGAACACCAGUGGCGAAGGCGGCUUACUGGACGGUAACUGACGUUGAGGCUCGAAAGCGUGGGGAGCAAAC